This 465-nucleotide ribosomal RNA is filed under the name uncultured bacterium. Its description in RNAcentral is "partial 16S ribosomal RNA". It matches the Rfam family "Bacterial small subunit ribosomal RNA", at positions 28 to 507 of the family's 1533-position model. The record is from RNAcentral.
GACGAACGCUGGCGGCGUGCUUAACACAUGCAAGUCGAACGGAAAGGCCCCUAUGGGGGUACUCGAGGGGCGAACGGGGGAGUAACACGGGAGUAACCUGCCCUUGACAUCGGGAUAACUGCAGGAAACUGGGGCUAAUACCGGAAAGGCAUCAUUGCAGCAUGGUGGGGGUUGGAAAGCUCCGGCGGCUUUGGAUGGACUCGCGGCCUAUCAGCUUGUUGGUGGGGUAGUGGCGUACCAGGGCGCUGAGGGGUAGCCGGCCUGUGGGGGCGACCGGCCGCACUGGGACUGAGGGGCGGCCCCGGCUGCUACUGGAGGCCGCUGUGCGGAAUCUUGCUCAAUGGGCGGCAGCCUGAUGCAGCAACGCCGCGUGCGGUAUGACGGCCUUCGGGUUGUAGACCGCUUUCAGCAGGGGCGAAGCUUGUGGUGACGGUACCUGCAGAAGAAGCACCGGCUAACUACGUG